RNAcentral lists this non-coding RNA (28 nucleotides) under Homo sapiens (human). The record is from RNAcentral. Lineage: Eukaryota; Metazoa; Chordata; Mammalia; Primates; Hominidae.
UGCCAACCUCACUUUCUGUCACCCUGGC